GUUCUUAACGUUCGGGUAAUCGCUGCAGAUCUUGAAUCUGUAGAGGAAAGUCCAUGCUCGCACGGUGCUGAGAUGCCCGUAGUGUUCGUGCCUAGCGAAGUCAUAAGCUAGGGCAGUCUUUAGAGGCUGACGGCAGGAAAAAAGCCUACGUCUUCGGAUAUGGCUGAGUAUCCUUGAAAGUGCCACAGUGACGAAGUCUCACUAGAAAUGGUGAGAGUGGAACGCGGUAAACCCCUCGAGCGAGAAACCCAAAUUUUGGUAGGGGAACCUUCUUAACGGAAUUCAACGGAGAGAAGGACAGAAUGCUUUCUGUAGAUAGAUGAUUGCCGCCUGAGUACGAGGUGAUGAGCCGUUUGCAGUACGAUGGAACAAAACAUGGCUUACAGAACGUUAGACCACUUACAUUUAAAAUGAUGAAAACAAGCUCUCCCGUAUAAGGAGAGCUUUUAUCUUGAAAAGAGAAAAGUUUUAAAAGACAGGGUGAUACGAUGAAGAAGUAUACACUAAUUGCAACGGCGCCGAUGGGCAUUGAAGCUGUUGUCGCAAAGGAAGUACGAGAUUUAGGAUACGAAUGCAAGGUUGAUAACGGGAAAGUUAUUUUUGAAGGUGAUGCACUUGCCAUCUGCCGUGCGAACCUUUGGCUUAGAACAGCCGACCGCAUAAAGGUUCAGGUUGCUUCUUUUAAAGCGAAAACAUUUGAUGAACUGUUUGAAAAAACGAAAGGCGAUUAACUGGCGCUCAUUUAUACCUGAAAACGGGAAAUUCCCUGUCAUCGGAAAAUCGGUAAAAUCAACACUUGCAAGCGUUCCUGACUGUCAGCGAUCGUCAAAAAAGCAAUUGUCGAAAAGCUCAAGCUGCAG
RNAcentral lists this unclassified non-coding RNA (860 nucleotides) under Bacillus subtilis. The stretch from base 8 to 388 matches the Rfam family "Bacterial RNase P class B". Lineage: Bacteria; Bacillati; Bacillota; Bacilli; Caryophanales; Bacillaceae. The record is from RNAcentral.